Non-coding RNA from Aspergillus luchuensis, 175 nucleotides. The record is from Rfam. Lineage: Eukaryota; Fungi; Ascomycota; Eurotiomycetes; Eurotiales; Aspergillaceae.
ACGUCUCUUGCCUCGCUCGAUCUCUCGCUCCCCUCGGUUGAUCUUGAGCUGGAUGCAGCCUGUACUAGAUACAGCCUGUACGAGACAAGAAUAAGGCGUAAGCCUUCGACGAUCUUUGAGUACGAUCUUACCCGCAUGCCACGGGUAUCAUCGUAAUUUAUCCGUCGAGACAACA